CCUAUCUGACCUGCAGGUGGAAUAGCCUGCUGGGAGCAGAGCUGACGAGUCUAAGAAUAGUUACCCUGCUGGUUGAUGCUGAGAGGACCACAGCUAGACUACCCUAGUGUUUUACAACUGGGGAUAGGUAGAAUAGUUACCCUACUGGUUGAUGCUGAGAGGACCACAGCUAGACUACCCUAGUGUUUUACAACUGGGGAUAGGUAGAAUAGUUACCCUGCUGGUUGAUGCUGAGAGGACCACAGCUAGACUACCCUAGUGUUUUACAACUGGGGAUAGGUAGAAUAGUUACCCUACUGGUUGAUGCUGAGAGGACCACAGCUAGACUACCCUAGUGUUUUACAACUGGGGAUAGGUAGAAUAGUUACCCUGCUGGUUGAUGCUGAGAGGACCACAGCUAGACUACCCUAGUGUUUUACAACUGGGGAUAGGUAGAAUAGAACCUGCUGAAACGCUAACGUCACUUAAACCUCAGGGACAGCAAUUUCAGGUUGGAAAUAGUUGCUGCUGCAAGGCUAAAAACUCCUGGGAAUAGACUGCAAUGUCAGGAUCAAAAAGGGACAACUAUUUUUAUCAUGCGUGUUGUGUGUUGUCAGCUAACUGCUUGCCCUGAUGAACCUUGGUCUUGGUAAGCUGGACAAGCCUGCAUUCCAACCCAGCACUAAAACAGUGCUGACACUGAUCUAAGAUCAGUUUAAUAUAGAGCCUAGAGCUGUCUGUGCCCGAGGGCACCUUCCACCCAGAGUAUCAUGGCUGCUGUAUCUUGUG
Long non-coding RNA from Oncorhynchus keta (chum salmon), 768 nucleotides. RefSeq lists it as uncharacterized. The transcript is spliced from 4 exons. NCBI's taxonomy places the organism in Eukaryota, Metazoa, Chordata, Actinopteri, Salmoniformes, Salmonidae. The record is from RefSeq and is a predicted model, not a curated record.